GGCUGGUGGUUGGUCUAGUGGUAAUGACGUUUGCCGCAUAAGCUGAAGACCCGGGUUCGAUUCCCGGCUCGGCCA
This 75-nucleotide transfer RNA is filed under the name Leguminivora glycinivorella. RNAcentral's name for it is "tRNA-Met". It matches the Rfam family "tRNA". From Rfam's summary of the family: Transfer RNA (tRNA) molecules are approximately 80 nucleotides in length. Their secondary structure includes four short double-helical elements and three loops (D, anti-codon, and T loops). Further hydrogen bonds mediate the characteristic L-shaped molecular structure. tRNAs have two regions of fundamental functional importance: the anti-codon, which is responsible for specific mRNA codon recognition, and the 3' end, to which the tRNAs corresponding amino acid is attached (by aminoacyl-tRNA synthetases). tRNAs cope with the degeneracy of the genetic code in two manners: having more than one tRNA (with a specific anti-codon) for a particular amino acid; and 'wobble' base-pairing, i.e. permitting non-standard base-pairing at the 3rd anti-codon position. The record is from RNAcentral. Lineage: Eukaryota; Metazoa; Arthropoda; Insecta; Lepidoptera; Tortricidae.